AUAAAAGCUACUAAGGGCAUAUGGUGGAUAUCUUGGCAGCAAGAGGCGAUGAAGGACGUUUACUAGGUAACGAUAUGCUUCGACGAGUGAUCAAGUACGCUUUGACUCGAAGAUUUCCGAAUGGGGUAACCUCGCUAGCAGAAAUGCUAGUGACUAUACAGUGAGUAAAGUAGCUGUAUUAGAGCGAACGCAGGGAACUGAAACAUCUAAGUACCUGUAGGAACAUAAAUCAAUAGAGAUUCUGCUAGUAGCGGCGAGCGAACGCAGAAAAGCCCAAACCGGCCAGUUUACUGCCCGGGGUUGUAGGACCUCAUUUAGGAUUCAUGAAGAUUAGGAGAACGUGUUGGGAAGCACGACCAAAGAGAGUGAAAGUCUCGUAUCCGAAAGUUUGAUUGACCGAGAGGUAUCCUGAGUAGGACGGAACACGAGAAAUUCUGUCUGAAUCUGGGAGGACCACCUUCCAAGGCUAAAUACUCCUUGCUGACCGAUAGUGAACCAGUACCGUGAGGGAAAGAUGAAAAGAACCCCGAUAAGGGGAGUGAAAUAGAACUUGAAACCAUAUGCUUACAAUCGGUGAAAGGGUUAUUGUAAAGCCUGAUCACGUACCUUUUGCAUUAUGAGCCGCCGAGUUACGGUGUGUAGCAAGGUUAAGCCGUCGCAGGUGUAGCCGUAGGGAAACCGAGUCUGAAUAGGGCGAUUAGUUGCAUGUCGUAGACCCGAAACGGGAUGAGCUUGCCAUGAGCAGGUUGAAGCGGAGGUAAUACUUCGUGGAGGACCGAACCCAUAUAGGUUGAAAACUGUUGGGAUGACUUGUGGUAAGGGGUGAAAGGCCAAUCAAAUUCCGUGAUAGCUGGUUCUCUCCGAAAUGCAUUUAGGUGCAGCGUUUGAUGAUUACUGACGGGGGUAAAGCACUGAAUUGGCUAGGGGGCUUACCAGCUUACCAAACCAUAUCAAACUCAGAAUACCGUUAAGUACAGUCAAGCAGUGAGACUAUGGAUGCUAAGGUCCAUAGUCGAAAGGGAAAGAGCCCAGACCGACAGUUAAGGUCCCUAAAUCGUGUCUAAGUGGGAAAGGUUGUGGAAUUACUUUGACAUCCAGGAGGUUGGCUUAGAAGCAGCCAUCCUUUAAAGAAAGCGUAAUAGCUCACUGGACUAGUGAUUCUGCGCCGAAAAUGUAACGGGGCUAAAGAUACGUACCGAAACUUCGGAAUUAUUUAUAAUUGGUAGGAGAGCAUUGUGUUUACUGAUGAAGGCGUACCGGCAAGGAGCGUUGGAGGCAUCACAAGAGCUGAUGGCGGCAUGAGUAGCGAUAAGAAAUGUGAGAAUCAUUUCCGCCGAAAAUCUAAGGGUUCCUGGACCAGGUGACUCCGUCCAGGGUUAGUCGGAUCCUAAGGUGAGGCCGAAAGGCGUAAUCGAUGGGUAACGGGUUAAUAUUCCCGUACUUGGUAAUUGUCGCUUGACAUGAAGGAGUGACGGAGAAAGGUAGCAGAGCCAACUGUUGGAUGUUGGUUUAAGAGUGUAGGAGGAGAUCUUAGGCAAAUCCGGGAUCUUGUUAACUCUGAGACUUGAUGACGAGGGCCUAGCCCGAAGUUUGUGAUCCUAUGCUUCCCAGAAAAGCUUCGCAUGAAGAUAAUUAUCAAUCCGUACCGUAAACCGACACAGGUAGAUGAGAAGAGAAUUCUCAGGCGCUUGGGAGAACUCUAGUUAAGGAACUCUGCAAAUUGGUGCCGUAACUUCGGGAGAAGGCACGCCUUGCUUGGUGACAUCACUUGCUGGUGAAGCUGAACGAGGUCGCAGUGAAGAGGGGGUAGCGACUGUUUAUCAAAAACAUAGGUCUAUGCAAACUCGCAAGAGGAUGUAUAUGGACUGACGCCUGCCCGGUGCUGGAAGGUUAAGAGGAGAGGUUAGCUUUCGGGCGAAGCUUCGAAUUGAAGCCCCAGUAAACGGCGGCCGUAACUAUAACGGUCCUAAGGUAGCGAAAUUCCUAGUCGGGUAAGUUCCGACCUGCACGAAUGGCGUAACGACUUCCCCACUGUCUCAACUAGAGGCCCAGCGAAAUUGGAGUGCGCGUGAAGAUACGCGCAACCCGCGGAAGGACGAAAAGACCCCGUGAACCUUUACUGUAGCUUGACAUUGGGUUUUGAUUAACAUUGCGUAGGAUAGGUGGGAGUUUUUGAUCCCUGCAUUCCGGUGUAGGAGUAGACAUCCUUGAAAUACCACCCUUUGUUAAUUGAAAUCCUAACCUACGAUCCUGAUCGGGUCGGGGGACAAUGUCUGGUGGGCAGUUUGACUGGGGCGGUCGCCUCCUAAAGAGUAACGGAGGCGCACAAAGGUUCGCUCAAGCCGAAUGGAAACCGGCUGUAGAGUGUAAACGCAUAAGCGAGCUUGACUGCAACACAAACACGUGGAGCAGGGUCGAAAGACGGUGUUAGUGAUCCGGUGGUUCCGAGUGGAAGGGCCAUCGCUCAACGGAUAAAAGGUACUCCGGGGAUAACAGGCUGAUCUCCCCCAAGAGUUCACAUCGACGGGGAGGUUUGGCACCUCGAUGUCGGCUCAUCGCAUCCUGGGGCUGGAGCAGGUCCCAAGGGUUAGACUGUUCGUCUAUUAAAGCGGUACGCGAGCUGGGUUCAGAACGUCGUGAGACAGUUCGGUCUCUAUCCUCCGUGGGCGUAAGAAAUUUGAGAAAAUCUGACCUUAGUACGAGAGGACCGGGUUGGACGAACCUAUGGUGUACCGGUUAUGUCGCCAGAUGUACCGCCGGGUAGCUAAGUUCGGAAAGGAUAACCGCUGAAAGCAUCUAAGUGGGAAGCCCAUUUCAAGAUAAGAUUUCUAUUAGACAGCUUGUAGACCACGAGCUUGAUAGGUUGGGGGUGUAAGUGCAGUAAUGCAUUGAGCUGACCAAUACUAAUUUGUCGUUUUGCUUUUAUCUAUUUUAUUUUAGGUUCACUUC
RNAcentral lists this ribosomal RNA (2949 nucleotides) under Halobacteriovorax marinus. RNAcentral's name for it is "23S ribosomal RNA". It matches the Rfam family "Bacterial large subunit ribosomal RNA". Lineage: Bacteria; Pseudomonadati; Bdellovibrionota; Bacteriovoracia; Bacteriovoracales; Halobacteriovoraceae. The record is from RNAcentral.